UGGGGAAUAUUGCACUAUGGAGGGAACUCUGAUGCAGCGACGCCGCGUGAACGAAGAAGGCUUUCGAGUCGUAAAGUUCUUUUAUAUGGGAAGAUAAUGACGGUACCAUAAGAAAAAGCCCCGGCUAACUACGUGCCAGCAGCCGCGGUAAUACGUAGGGGGCUAGCGUUGUCCGGAAUCACUGGGCGUAAAGGGUUCGCAGGCGGAAAUGCAAGUCAGGUGUAAAAGGCAGUAGCUUAACUACUGUAAGCAUUUGAAACUGCAUAUCUUGAGAAGAGUAGAGGUAAGUGGAAUUUUUAGUGUAGCGGUGAAAUGCGUAGAUAUUAAAAAGAAUACCGGUGGCGAAGGCGACUUACUGGGCUCAUUCUGACGCUGAGGAACGAAAGCGUGGGUAGCAAACAGG
This 403-nucleotide ribosomal RNA is filed under the name bacterium. RNAcentral's name for it is "partial 16S ribosomal RNA". It matches the Rfam family "Bacterial small subunit ribosomal RNA", at positions 355 to 776 of the family's 1533-position model. The record is from RNAcentral.